GAUGAACGCUGGCGGCGUGCCUAAUACAUGCAAGUCGAACGCUGGAGAUCUAGCUUGCUAGAUCGAAGGAGUGGCGAACGGGUGAGUAAUACAUAAGCAACCUACCCACGAAGACUGGGAUAAUCUCUGGAAACGGGGACUAAUACCGGAUAGGUAAUCGGAAGGCAUCUUCUGAUUAUUAAAGGUUAAAAACACUGGUGGAUGGGCUUAUGGCGCAUUAGUUAGUUGGUGAGGUAACGGCCCACCAAGACGAUGAUGCGUAGCCGGCCUGAGAGGGUGAACGGCCACAUUGGGACUGAGACACGGCCCAGACUCCUACGGGAGGCAGCAGUAGGGAAUUUUCGGCAAUGGGGGAAACCCUGACCGAGCAACGCCGCGUGAGUGAUGACGGCCUUCGGGUUGUAAAGCUCUGUUGUAAGGGAAGAACGGUAGAUAGAGAAUAUCUAAGUGACGGUACCUUACCAGAAAGCCACGGCUAACUACGUGCCAGCAGCCGCGGUAAUACGUAGGUGGCGAGCGUUAUCCGGAAUUAUUGGGCGUAAAGGGUGCGUAGGCGGCCUGUUAAGUAAGUGGUUAAAUUGUUGGGCUCAACCCAAUCCAGCCACUUAAACUGGCAGGCUAGAGUAUUGGAGAGGCAAGUGGAAUUCCAUGUGUAGCGGUAAAAUGCGUAGAUAUAUGGAGGAACACCAGUGGCGAAGGCGGCUUGCUAGCCAAAGACUGACGCUCAUGCACGAAAGCGUGGGGAGCAAAUAGG
This 754-nucleotide ribosomal RNA is filed under the name uncultured Bulleidia sp. RNAcentral describes it as "bacterial SSU rRNA". It matches the Rfam family "Bacterial small subunit ribosomal RNA", at positions 28 to 776 of the family's 1533-position model. Lineage: Bacteria; Bacillati; Bacillota; Erysipelotrichia; Erysipelotrichales; Erysipelotrichaceae. The record is from RNAcentral.